UACGUAGGUGGCAAGCGUUGUCCGGAAUUAUUGGGCGUAAAGCGCGCGCAGGUGGUUUCUUAAGUCUGAUGUGAAAGCCCACGGCUCAACCGUGGAGGGUCAUUGGAAACUGGGGAACUUGAGUGCAGAAGAGGAAAGUGGAAUUCCAAGUGUAGCGGUGAAAUGCGUAGAUAUCAGGAGGAACACCUGUGGCGAAAGCGGCUCACUGGACCGGUACUGACGCUGAGGCGCGAAAGCGUGGGGAGCAAACGGG
This 253-nucleotide ribosomal RNA is filed under the name uncultured bacterium. RNAcentral's name for it is "partial 16S ribosomal RNA". It matches the Rfam family "Bacterial small subunit ribosomal RNA", at positions 524 to 776 of the family's 1533-position model. The record is from RNAcentral.